Long non-coding RNA from Myotis brandtii (Brandt's bat), 148 nucleotides. RefSeq lists it as uncharacterized. The record is from RefSeq and is a predicted model, not a curated record. NCBI's taxonomy places the organism in Eukaryota, Metazoa, Chordata, Mammalia, Chiroptera, Vespertilionidae. The transcript is spliced from 3 exons.
AGUAAUUGCUAAGUGUCUAAAUUUUUUGUUCUUCUUUUAAAGAGCAGCUUUACUUGGAAGACAGUUAAAUUGCCUGCAGAUCAGCUUUUAAGACUUGAAUGUAAGCUCUGUUGAGAGGAAGGGAGAGGGAGAGAGAUUUAGAAGCAGC